RNAcentral lists this ribosomal RNA (415 nucleotides) under uncultured microorganism. RNAcentral describes it as "bacterial SSU rRNA". It matches the Rfam family "Archaeal small subunit ribosomal RNA", at positions 330 to 747 of the family's 1478-position model. The record is from RNAcentral.
GUGCAGCAGUCGAGAAAACUUCACACUGUGCGAAAGCACGAUGAGGGAAUCCCAAGUGCUUGCACGUAAGUGUAAGCUGUUUCUCUGUCUAAAACGCAGAGAGAGUAAGGGCUGGGUAAGACGGGUGCCAGCCGCCGCGGUAAUACCUGCAGCUCAAGUGGUGACCGUUAUUAUUGGGCCUAAAACGUCCGUAGCCGGUUUAAUAAAUGCCUGGGUAAAUUGUGUAGCUUAACUAUACGAAUUCCGGGUAGACUGUUAAACUUGAGACCGGGAGAAGUUAGAGGUACUCCUGGGGUAGAGGUGAAAAUUCUGUAAUCCUAGGGGACCACCAGUGGCGAAGGCGUCUAACUAGAACGGGUCUGACGGUGAGGGACGAAGCCCUGGGGCGCAAACGGGAUUAGAUACCCCGUAGUCC